Molecule: ribosomal RNA, 447 nt
Filed under: uncultured bacterium
Lineage: Bacteria
Description: partial 16S ribosomal RNA
Rfam family: Bacterial small subunit ribosomal RNA
Source: RNAcentral
UGCCAGACUCCUACGGGAGGCAGCAGUGGGGAAUAUUGCACAAUGGGGGGAACCCUGAUGCAGCGACGCCGCGUGGGUGAAGGAGCACCUCGGUGCGUAAAGCCCUAUCGGCAGGGAAGAAACAGACGGUACCUGACUAAGAAGCCCCGGCUAACUACGUGCCAGCAGCCGCGGUAAUACGUAGGGGGCAAGCGUUAUCCGGAUUCACUGGGUGUAAAGGGAGCGUAGACGGCGACGCAAGUCUGGAGUGAAAGCCCGGGGCCCAACCCCGGGACUGCUCUUGGAACUGCGUGGCUAGAGUGCAGGAGGGGCAGGCGGAAUUCCUGGUGUAGCGGUGAAAUGCGUAGAUAUCAGGAGGAACACCGGUGGCGAAGGCGGCCUGCUGGACUGCAACUGACGUUGAGGCCCGAAAGCGUGGGGAGCAAACAGGAUUAGAUACCCCGGUAC